GGGUUGUGAGGUUAAGCGACUAAGCGUACACGGUGGAUGCCCUGGCAGUCAGAGGCGAUGAAGGACGUGCUAAUCUGCGAAAAGCGUCGGUAAGGUGAUAUGAACCGUUACAGCCGGCGAUGUCCGAAUGGGGAAACCCAGUGCAAUUCGUUGCACUAUCGUUAACUGAAUACAUAGGUUAACGAGGCGAACCGGGGGAACUGAAACAUCUAAGUACCCCGAGGAAAAGAAAUCAACCGAGAUUCCCCCAGUAGCGGCGAGCGAACGGGGAGCAGCCCAGAGUCUGAAUCAGCUUGUGUGUUAGUGGAACGGUCUGGAAAGUCCGACGGUACAGGGUGAUAGUCCCGUACACCAAAAUGCACAGGUUGUGAACUCGAAGAGUAGGGCGGGACACGUGGUAUCCUGUCUGAAUAUGGGGGGACCAUCCUCCAAGGCUAAAUACUCCUGACUGACCGAUAGUGAACCAGUACCGUGAGGGAAAGGCGAAAAGAACCCCGGCGAGGGGAGUGAAAAAGAACCUGAAACCGUGUACGUACAAGCGGUGGGAGCACCUUCGGGUGUGACUGCGUACCUUUGUAUAAUGGGUCAGCGACUUAUAUUCUGUAGCAAGGUUAACCGUAUGGGGAGCCGCAGGGAAACCGAGUCUUAACUGGGCGUUAAGUUGCAGGGUAUAGACCCGAAACCCGGUGAUCUAGCCAUGGGCAGGUUGAAGGUUGGGUAACACUAACUGGAGGACCGAACCGACUAAUGUUGAAAAAUUAGCGGAUGACUUGUGGCUGGGGGUGAAAGGCCAAUCAAACCGGGAGAUAGCUGGUUCUCCCGAAAGCUAUUUAGGUAGCGCCUCGUGAAUUCAUCUUCGGGGGUAGAGCACUGUUUCGGCUAGGGGGUCAUCCCGACUUACCAACCCGAUGCAAACUACGAAUACCGAAGAAUGUUAUCACGGGAGACACACGGCGGGUGCUAACGUCCGUCGUGAAGAGGGAAACAACCCAGACCGCCAGCUAAGGUCCCAAAGUCAUGGUUAAGUGGGAAACGAUGUGGGAAGGCACAGACAGCCGGGAUGUUGGCUUAAAAGCAGCCAUCAUUUAAAGAAAGCGUAAUAGCUCACUGGUCGAGUCGGCCUGCGCGGAAGAUGUAACGGGGCUAAACCAUGCACCGAAGCUGCGGCAGCGACACUAUGUGUUGUUGGGUAGGGGAGCGUUCUGUAAGCCUGCGAAGGUGACCUGUGAGGGUUGCUGGAGGUAUCAGAAGUGCGAAUGCUGACAUAAGUAACGAUAAAGCGGGUGAAAAGCCCGCUCGCCGGAAGACCAAGGGUUCCUGUCCAACGUUAAUCGGGGCAGGGUGAGUCGACCCCUAAGGCGAGGCCGAAAGGCGUAGUCGAUGGGAAACAGGUUAAUAUUCCUGUACUUGGUGUUACUGCGAAGGGGGGACGGAGAAGGCUAUGUUAGCCGGGCGACGGUUGUCCCGGUUUAAGCAUGUAGGCUGGUUGUCCAGGCAAAUCCGGAUAAUCAAGGCUGAGGUGUGAUGACGAGGCACUACGGUGCUGAAGUAACAAAUGCCCUGCUUCCAGGAAAAGCCUCUAAGCAUCAGGUAACAUCAAAUCGUACCCCAAACCGACACAGGUGGUCAGGUAGAGAAUACCAAGGCGCUUGAGAGAACUCGGGUGAAGGAACUAGGCAAAAUGGUGCCGUAACUUCGGGAGAAGGCACGCUGGUGUGUAGGUGAAGUCCCUGCGGAUGGAGCUGAGACCAGUCGAAGAUACCAGCUGGCUGCAACUGUUUAUUAAAAACACAGCACUGUGCAAACACGAAAGUGGACGUAUACGGUGUGACGCCUGCCCGGUGCCGGAAGGUUAAUUGAUGGGGUUAUCCGUAAGGAGAAGCUCUUGAUCGAAGCCCCGGUAAACGGCGGCCGUAACUAUAACGGUCCUAAGGUAGCGAAAUUCCUUGUCGGGUAAGUUCCGACCUGCACGAAUGGCGUAAUGAUGGCGAGGCUGUCUCCACCCGAGACUCAGUGAAAUUGAACUCGCUGUGAAGAUGCAGUGUACCCGCGGCAAGACGGAAAGACCCCGUGAACCUUUACUAUAGCUUGACACUGAACAUUGAGCCUUGAUGUGUAGGAUAGGUGGGAGGCUUUGAAGCGUGGACGCCAGUCUGCGUGGAGCCAACCUUGAAAUACCACCCUUUAAUGUUUGAUGUUCUAACGUUGGCCCCUGACCGGGGUUGCGGACAGUGUCUGGUGGGUAGUUUGACUGGGGCGGUCUCCUCCCAAAGCGUAACGGAGGAGCACGAAGGUUAGCUAAUCCUGGUCGGACAUCAGGAGUUAGUGCAAUGGCAUAAGCUAGCUUGACUGCGAGCGUGACGGCGCGAGCAGGUGCGAAAGCAGGUCAUAGUGAUCCGGUGGUUCUGAAUGGAAGGGCCAUCGCUCAACGGAUAAAAGGUACUCGGGGAUAACAGGCUGAUACCGCCCAAGAGUUCAUAUCGACGGCGGUGUUUGGCACCUCGAUGUCGGCUCAUCACAUCCUGGGGCUGAAGUAGGUCCCAAGGGUAUGGCUGUUCGCCAUUUAAAGUGGUACGCGAGCUGGGUUUAGAACGUCGUGAGACAGUUCGGUCCCUAUCUGCCGUGGGCGCUGGAGAAUUGAGGGGGGCUGCUCCUAGUACGAGAGGACCGGAGUGGACGCAUCACUGGUGUUCGGGUUGUCAUGCCAAUGGCACUGCCCGGUAGCUAAAUGCGGAAGAGAUAAGUGCUGAAAGCAUCUAAGCACGAAACUUGCCCCGAGAUGAGUUCUCCCUGAGACUUUAAGUCUCCUGAAGGAACGUUAAAGACGAUGACGUUGAUAGGCCGGGUGUGUAAGCGCAGCGAUGCGUUGAGCUAACCGGUACUAAUGAACCGUGAGGCUUAACCUUACAACGCCGAAG
Molecule: ribosomal RNA, 2918 nt
Filed under: Klebsiella pneumoniae
Lineage: Bacteria; Pseudomonadati; Pseudomonadota; Gammaproteobacteria; Enterobacterales; Enterobacteriaceae
Description: bacterial LSU rRNA
Rfam family: Bacterial large subunit ribosomal RNA
Source: RNAcentral